This 254-nucleotide ribosomal RNA is filed under the name uncultured bacterium. RNAcentral's name for it is "partial 16S ribosomal RNA". It matches the Rfam family "Bacterial small subunit ribosomal RNA", at positions 524 to 777 of the family's 1533-position model. The record is from RNAcentral.
GACAGAGGGUGCAAACGUUGCUCGGAAUCACUGGGCGUAAAGGGCGUGUAGGCGGGUAGAUAAGUCGGGCGUGAAAUCCCUAGGCUCAACCUAGGAACUGCACUCGAAACUGUUUAUCUUGAGUGCCGGAGAGGAAAGCGGAAUUCCUGGUGUAGAGGUGAAAUUCGUAGAUAUCUGGAGGAAUACCGGUGGCGAAGGCGGCAUCCUGGACCGGCAUUGACGCUGAUGAGCGAAAGCUAGGGGAGCAAACGGGG